This is a long non-coding RNA of Pomacea canaliculata, 1371 nucleotides long. RefSeq lists it as uncharacterized. The transcript has 5 exons. The record is from RefSeq and is a predicted model, not a curated record. NCBI's taxonomy places the organism in Eukaryota, Metazoa, Mollusca, Gastropoda, Architaenioglossa, Ampullariidae.
ACCAAAAAACAUUUUAAAAUGAAACAUGUUUAAAACAUUUUUAAAGUGUUAGAAAAUAAACCAUUUAAAACCUAAAUGUUAAAUAAAUGUUUUAUAAACAUGUAAAAGUUAACGUCUUUCACUGCGCGCGUCAUAAGCCCGCUGAUGACAAAAUUUUUUAAAACACCUCAAAAUUUUAUUUGCGUACCUUUGCGGCGUAGAUACUGAUAAUCCUCACAAAAAACAUUUUAAAUACUUUGUUAUAUAUUUUCUUAUCACUAGGUUUGAUAUUCUAAAAUCAUUCGCAGUUUAUAAAACAUCUAUGCUACGUAACUAAAUAUUUCCUAUUCUCCUUAAUGCGUGUACUCCCAUGAUUCCACGCGGCGCGAAAUUUUGUCUGCUGCUUACGACACGCGUGCUUUGCUAAAAACAUUGGGUUGUAAAACUAUUAUAUACCGUGUUCUAGUACAACACAGACUUAAUGUAUGCUUUUAGGUGUGAUUUGUCAAACAAAGUUUUCGUUUUGAAUAGUGCGCUCGUACAUAAUUUAAGACGUUAAGGCAACUGAUGUCCAAAUCAUGUCGUACUACUGAACGAAGCGGAGUAAAUAAAAUUGUUGAAGCAGAGUUGGCGGAACAGAAAGAAAAAGACAGAUCCGAUACAAACAAUGGAGUCACACAAAUAUGGCAGCAGACUUGCCACCAAGUAAGGUGACAAAACAUGUGAAGGAGGGAACUCUGCCAGACAGGUGAAUGCACUAACCACCAGAAUAUUGGCAUCAUCACGAGAGCACCCCAUUGAUGCUCUGCAAGGAGAACAAGAAGAGACAAACCUCAAACUGCAGCAGUAGAAGGCAGUAUCCAGGGAGUGUCUAACGCAGAUCAGAAGCCUCUCUUGUGUGGGUGGUACGGAUGCAAAGGAUUGCCUGAAAAGGAUCAUGCGGCGAAUCUUGGCCGACAAGGUUUUAUAACUAAAGGCCAAAGAGGAGAAAAGUGUGCAUUCAAGGGGCUUUCAAAGGUGCAGACCAUGAUAUGCAAAGCCGUACAGAAGAACAAUGGGUGCAUGGAGGCUUCAGAUAAUAUCAUCGAAGAAAGCAGCAGCAGAAAGAGUCGGGGUAGAAAGCAGAGGAGAGAACGAAACUAAAUGCUAGCAUAUUUCAAGGAAGUGACAACUGUGUUUCUGUGCCCUGUGAAUUUACUGGAAUAUUAUGGCAGAAUUGUGUAGCUACGUUUCCUCGUUGGGAUUUGGCAAAAAGAGACUUCCAAGAAAUUGAAAGUAAAAACUGUGACAUUGUUAUUAUCCUCAUCUUCAAUUAAGGCCAGGCACCUGAGGUAAAAACUUUUUAAGUUAUUUAAAUAUGGCAGAUAGGCAUCAAAAUUAACUCUUUGAUUA